This 253-nucleotide ribosomal RNA is filed under the name uncultured bacterium. Its description in RNAcentral is "partial 16S ribosomal RNA". It matches the Rfam family "Bacterial small subunit ribosomal RNA", at positions 524 to 776 of the family's 1533-position model. The record is from RNAcentral.
CACGGGGGGAGCAAGCGUUGUUCGGAAUCACUGGGCGUAAAGGGCGUGUAGGCGGUCAGGUAAGUGGGAUGUGAAAUGCCUCGGCUCACCCGAGGCACUGCAUUCCAAACUGCUUGGCUUGAGUAUGGGAGAGGAUGAGGGAAUUCCUGGUGUAGCGGUGAAAUGCGUAGAUAUCAGGAGGAACACCGGUGGCGAAGGCGCUCAUCUGGCCCAAUACUGACGCUGAGGCGCGAAAGCUAGGGGAGCAAACGGG